RNAcentral lists this ribosomal RNA (445 nucleotides) under uncultured bacterium. RNAcentral describes it as "partial 16S ribosomal RNA". It matches the Rfam family "Bacterial small subunit ribosomal RNA", at positions 354 to 796 of the family's 1533-position model. The record is from RNAcentral.
GUGAGGAAUAUUGGACAAUGGGCGCAAGCCUGAUCCAGCCAUGCCGCGUGCAGGAAGACGCAUCUAUGGUGUGUAAACUGCUUUUGUACGGGAAGAAACACUCCCUCGUGAGGGAGCUUGACGGUACCGUAAGAAUAAGGAUCGGCUAACUCCGUGCCAGCAGCCGCUGUCAUACGGAGGAUCCAAGCGUUAUCCGGAAUCAUUGGGUUUAAAGGGUCCGUAGGCGGUUUAAUAAGUCAGUGGUGAAAGCCCAUCGCUCAACGAUGGAACGGCCAUUGAUACUGUUAGACUUGAAUUACAAGGAAGUAACUAGAAUAUGUAGUGUAGCGGUGAAAUGCUUAGAUAUUACAUGGAAUACCAAUUGCGAAGGCAGGUUACUACUUGUGGAUUGACGCUGAUGGACGAAAGCGUGGGGAGCGAACAGGAUUAGAAACCCGUGUAGUCC